GGGCGAGUGGCGAAAUGGCAGACGCGCUGGCUUCAGGUGCCAGUGUUCGUAAGGACGUGGGGGUUCAAGUCCCCCCUCGCUCACAA
Molecule: transfer RNA, 86 nt
Filed under: Actinomycetes bacterium
Lineage: Bacteria; Bacillati; Actinomycetota; Actinomycetes
Also listed under: 2 other names
Description: Actinobacteria bacterium tRNA-Leu
Rfam family: tRNA
About the family: Transfer RNA (tRNA) molecules are approximately 80 nucleotides in length. Their secondary structure includes four short double-helical elements and three loops (D, anti-codon, and T loops).
Source: RNAcentral